Molecule: ribosomal RNA, 253 nt
Filed under: uncultured bacterium
Lineage: Bacteria
Description: partial 16S ribosomal RNA
Rfam family: Bacterial small subunit ribosomal RNA
Source: RNAcentral
UACGGAGGGAGCUAGCGUUGUUCGGAAUUACUGGGCGUAAAGCGCGCGUAGGCGGCUUUGUAAGUUAGAGGUGAAAGCCCGGGGCUCAACCCCGGAACAGCCUUUAAGACUGCAUCGCUAGAAUCCGGGAGAGGUGAGUGGAAUUCCGAGUGUAGAGGUGAAAUUCGUAGAUAUUCGGAAGAACACCAGUGGCGAAGGCGGCUCACUGGCCCGAUACUGACGCUGAGGCACGAAAGCGUGGGGAGCAAACAGG